CGUUGCUGUUAUUCGUUCACCGUUGGCUAAACUCAGAGCACUCGUGCAGUUUGGCAACUCAUGAACGAAUGACGGCUCCGG
Molecule: microRNA precursor, 81 nt
Filed under: Pristionchus pacificus
Lineage: Eukaryota; Metazoa; Nematoda; Chromadorea; Rhabditida; Neodiplogasteridae
Description: microRNA ppc-mir-2261 precursor
Source: miRBase by way of RNAcentral